AUACUGUUAGAAGUUUGUUGAAGCACUUCUAUUUUGUUCUGUUUUACAAUAUGUUGUGGUUGGUUAUUCAUACUUCACUAAAAUGGAUAGUGCAUCGGAAUUUAUCAAUUCCUUAUAAAAAAAAAUCAAUGUUAAAGUUUUUGUUUGAAUGUAUUUUUCAUCGUUCAGUAGGAUGGUGUAGAUAUCGAUCUUUAGGAUGAGAUGCUUAUGAAGUUAUGGGACCAUGGUAAUAGCAGGUUAGGCAUCGAUAUAUAGGACUCGAAGGGAAGUCUGUCAACUACUCGGUGGUGUUUGGAGUGUUUACGCUAGGUGAUUUCUUUCCAUAUUCCCAAGCACCGAUGGACAAAGUAAUCCGGUAUCCUGUUGAAAAUAGUCAACUUUCCAAUGUUUCUCCAUUAAAGAGGUUGGUUCUAUUUUUUAUUUUUGCUAUGCGACUUUUACUUCAUGCAUAUUGUCUCUCUUCAAACAAUAUCACAUCAUGUAAGAGCGUUUUUCGUUCAUCCUUGAAUUAUAUCAAAUAAUCCACCAAAUAUUGUUUUCAUUUAUUUAUUAUCACAGCUAAUACUACUGUUUUAUCUGCAGGCCAUUUCACUCCCUGAAAGUGAUGUUUAUAGUAAGCAGUAGGAGUGAUUCGUCCCUCCAUCCACCUUGCAAAAAUACCUCAAAAACCUAUACACAAACAGAAAAACGAAAAGGCAAACGUCAACCAUGGAAAGCUUUUGGUUAUAUGGCCCACCUGGAACAGUAAAGUCAACCUAGCAAAAGCUGUUGCGACAGAAGCAGAUUCAACUUUUGCCAGAUAAGAUGAAACUGGUGUUCGAAAUUCAGAUAUAAUCAAUAAGCAACUACUUCGUUGUACUCUUGAACUCGCAAGAGGUCAGUCAUCAAAAAGAGUACAAGAAUUAAAUAAAGUGAGAGCUCAAGCCGCACUUGCAUCACAUGUUAUUUCUGCCGCCAUACCAGAUGAUGGAUCUUUGUGGCUUUGGGGAAGUUCUAAGUGUAGGCAACUUGAUUUUGGCAAAUAUUAUUGUUUAGAAUUUUCUUUUUUUCCUGAGUGUAGUUGUCAAUUCAUAUGGUACUGGCAAAUGGCAGAUCUCAUUGGAUUGGGGUCAUGCUCUCGUGCUAACUAAGAGGAACUUACUAAAACUCACCUGAUGGAUUUUC
This is a long non-coding RNA of Capsicum annuum, 1164 nucleotides long. RefSeq lists it as uncharacterized. The transcript has 4 exons. The record is from RefSeq and is a predicted model, not a curated record. NCBI's taxonomy places the organism in Eukaryota, Viridiplantae, Streptophyta, Magnoliopsida, Solanales, Solanaceae.